AUUUUUACAGAGAGAUUCUUCUUAUGUUGAUUCUGCUACUAAUAUGCUACGUCAGCAGCAAGAUUGUGACAAAAGCAGUGACACAAUUAUAUCAAAGGAAAGUUACAAUAAUUGUGACGAUAGUAAUACCAAAAAAAACAUUCUAUGCAAUGAAGAUAUAAAUAUACUAAAAAAUUAUCCAAAAAUAUCUAUAUUUUAUUUAUUAUACAAAAUAUUAAAAUUUUUACAUUAUAUAAACGCAAUUCAAUAUAAGUUCAAAGACAAUAAUAAAAAAAAAAAUAAAAAAUUUUGUUCUAAUGUAGAAAAUAAUGAUUAUAAUAUAUUGAAACAAAAUAAUUUAGUUGUAACUUAUAACGAUUUAAAAAAACCAAAUUUAAAAAUUUAUAUUAAAAAAAAUUUAAGUAUUUGUUUAUUUUCUUAUAAAAAAAAACAUUCAACAUAUUAUAAUAUGAUGAGAUACAAUCAUUUUGAGGAAUAUUAUUACAAUUUAUAUUUAACUGUGGAACGCUGUAAAACAUAUAUUUACGAAGCCGAUGUAAGAGACGCCAAAGGUAAAAGGUUAAAACUACAAGAUGUAUUGAAAAAUUGCCACGUUAACAACAGAAGCUUACUUUUUCUUUUAUUACAUAAUUGCUAUACUAAUAAAACACUUUUAACUAGAAAAACAAGGAGCCUAUUGUUAAAAUUAACUAAAAAAAUAGAAAAGAUAAGUACAGAUAAAUCGAAUCUUAUAGAUUAUUUAACAACAUACAAAGAAUAUCAUAUAUUACAUAAUAAAUAUAAUAUUCCAAAAAUAGAUAUACAAAAAUAUUUUACUUUUUAUUACGAUAUAUUUAAUAAAAAUAAUAAUAAUGAUAUAACUAAUAUAUCUGAUCAAAAUUUAACUUUUUCAUGUCCUUUCUGUAUUCAAAUAUUUCAUUACAAAAAUGAGUUGUUAAGUCACAUAUCCAUUUUUCAUAAUAUAAAUCAAAGUGUUUCUGAUAUGUUUUUUUUUUUUUCAAAAAAUAAGCAUAUAAAACAUAAUAAUUUAAGUAAUAUUUUAAAUAUAAAAAAUACAAUGGAAAAUAUACCACAUAUAAUAAAAUCAAAUAAUAAUUGGAAAAAUAAAAUAAUAGAAACGCCAUACACGAAUGAAAAACUAAUAACCGGUGUAGACAAUGUAAUAAAUAAAUCAUCCAUGUUAAACUCUCAUCCCGUUACACAAAAGCAUAUUAAAUUUGUAGAUGAUCAUGUACAUCUGAGUAGUAUCCAAAACGUCUUUCAAAAAAAUGUUCAACUUGAACAAAGUCAAUAUGAUAAAUCGUAUUUAAAACAACAAAAAAAUGAUAUAAAUAGUAAAGAGUUCAAUUUAGAUGAUCAAUUAAAAAAAAGUAAAAAAUUUAUUGAAAUGGAUCCCAUGUUAGUACAUGACAAUAAUGUACCCAAAUGCAACAACUUAUAUACAAAAAAACAUAACAACAAUCAUAUAAAACAUUUUUUAGGAAGGUUCAAAAUAAAAAAUACUUUAAGAACUGUUUAUAUGUAUCAUAUUGCGAUCAUUAUGCAGCUUUUUAUGUCACAAAAAAAAUUAGAAAAAACAAACAAACAAACAAAAAAUAUAUAUUAUAGUAAUAGUAGUACACUUGCAGAAAAAGAAAAAAAAAGUGGCAAUGAUGCUUUACAAACAAAAGAACAGCAGGAAUGCAUAAUGAAUAGGAACAAAAGGUGUAAUUGUAUCGAAAAAAAAAAUAAAAGUCAAGAUAAAAUUGGGGGUAGAAUGGGUAAUACUGAACGAGAUUUUAAGAAGGCUACCAAAAAGCGCUCGUCAAAUUGUAAUAACUGCAGCAAAGAAUGUGCUCGAAAAAAAACAAAAAUAUCAUUUAAACAAAAGGAAUCAUUCGAAUGUAUAAAUUUGUAUGAACCAAAGGUUACAAAUAAAAAAUUGCUAGCUCGAUAUAAAAAUAAUAUGAAUUAUUGUUAUUCUAUGGAAAACAUUUUGAAUAAAAAAGAUUUUAUAAAAAACAAAUUAAACAAGUUUCGUUUAAUGUAUGAAUUAAAAAAUAAAAUUAAUAAUACACCUUAUAAAAAAAAAGAAUGGGUUAAAGCGAACAAUAUAUUGAUAAACCAAUUUCAGAUGGACAUAUGUAUGUAUAUAAAAAAAAAAUUAUUUAUUUAUUUUAAAAACAAUAUUGUUAACUACUUUUUUAUAUUAUUAAAUGAAAACCUAGCUAGAUGUAUAAUAAAUUA
Molecule: long non-coding RNA, 2226 nt
Filed under: Piliocolobus tephrosceles (Ugandan red Colobus)
Lineage: Eukaryota; Metazoa; Chordata; Mammalia; Primates; Cercopithecidae
Description: lncRNA (ENSPTEG00000019114.1)
Source: RNAcentral